GAGUGGGAGACAGAGAGACAAGUGUGCUCAGAGGGCACCCAUAUCUGCAUAUAACGUGGUCCUGAAUUUCUGGCUGGGAAGUGCUUCCAGGGUUUCAUAUGUGUUAUGGAGAUGCUUCCUCUCUCCAACCUCACCGUGCAGGAAUCCCAGUGAAUAUAUUGCCACCAUCUUGGAGCUCAGUGCCCUCAUAGUGUAACAGCACCAGCAGAUCUGCCUGUGCACAGACUUCCUGUACUACCUCACUCCUGAGGGGAGAUGCUUCUGCAGGGCCUGCGACCUGGUGCACAACUUUAGACACCAUCAUCCUGGAGCGGCACUGCACCCUCACUAGCCAGGGUGUUGAUGACUUCCUCAAUGCCAAGGCCACGUUCAAGAUUUUCGACUUCAGUGAUGCGUUUGUGCUGAGCAAGCCAAGAGACCCAAGCCUGCCUUGCUGCCACUUAGGAUAUGACAGCACAGCCAGUGGCCUCUACUGGAUCCUGGUACCCCUCAGAAGACACCCAGACACUGGGAGUGCUGCCACCUCGUGGUGCAAGAGUUCUGAGGGACGGCAAUUCUGAAGACAUUGAAUGCCGUUUUGCACACCCUGGUCAGAAUGAAACAUUCCUUGGGAACUCGGGCCGUGAGAAGCAUCCUUCCUGAUCACCUGACUGUAGAAACAUCCUUAUCGCACCCUCCCGGGCAAAGGCCCAACAGCCUGACUGCAGGAACAUCCUUGCCAUAUCCUGCCGGGCAGCAAGCUCUACCGCCCACACCCCUCCUUCCCAGUCCCAUGAUCACCCCAGCCUG
Homo sapiens (human) is the source of this 789-nucleotide long non-coding RNA. Ensembl annotates it as family with sequence similarity 95 member B1. Its record names the gene FAM95B1. The record is from Ensembl. NCBI's taxonomy places the organism in Eukaryota, Metazoa, Chordata, Mammalia, Primates, Hominidae.